ACGAACGCUGGCGGCGUGCUUAACCCAUGCAAGUCGCACGGAAAGGCCCUGCUUGCCGGGUACUCGAGUGGCGAACGGGUGAGUAACACGUGGGUGAUCUGCCCUGCACUUCGGGAUAAGCCUGGGAAACUGGGUCUAAUACCGGAUAGGAGCCAUUUUUAGUGUGAUGGUUGGAAAGUUUUUUCGGUGUAGGAUGAGCUCGCGGCCUAUCAGCUUGUUGGUGGGGUAAUGGCCUACCAAGGCGGCGACGGGUAGCCGGCCUGAGAGGGUGGAUGGCCACAUUGGGACUGAGAUACGGCCCAGACUCCUACGGGAGGCAGCAGUGGGGAAUAUUGCACAAUGGGCGCAAGCCUGAUGCAGCGACGCCGCGUGGGGGAUGACGGCCUUCGGGUUGUAAACUCCUUUCGCUAGGGACGAAGCUUUUUGUGACGGUACCUAGAUAAGAAGCACCGGCUAACUACGUG
RNAcentral lists this ribosomal RNA (464 nucleotides) under uncultured bacterium. RNAcentral's name for it is "partial 16S ribosomal RNA". It matches the Rfam family "Bacterial small subunit ribosomal RNA", at positions 29 to 507 of the family's 1533-position model. The record is from RNAcentral.